UACGUAGGGGGCUAGCGUUGUCCGGAAUCAUUGGGCGUAAAGCGCGUGUAGGCGGUCCGGUAAGUCCGCUGUGAAAGUCGGGGGCUCAACCCUCGAAUGCCGGUGGAUACUGUCGGGCUAGAGUGCGGAAGAGGCGAGUGGAAUUCCUGGUGUAGCGGUGAAAUGCGCAGAUAUCAGGAGGAAUACCGGUGGCGAAAGCGACUCUCUGGACGGCAACUGACGCUGAGGCACGAAAGCGUGGGGAGCAAACAGG
This 253-nucleotide ribosomal RNA is filed under the name uncultured bacterium. RNAcentral's name for it is "partial 16S ribosomal RNA". It matches the Rfam family "Bacterial small subunit ribosomal RNA", at positions 524 to 776 of the family's 1533-position model. The record is from RNAcentral.